Molecule: ribosomal RNA, 250 nt
Filed under: uncultured bacterium
Lineage: Bacteria
Description: partial 16S ribosomal RNA
Rfam family: Bacterial small subunit ribosomal RNA
Source: RNAcentral
GACGAACGCUGGCGGCGUGCUUAACACAUGCAAGUCGAGCGGUAAGGCCCUUUCGGGGUACGACGAGCGGCGAACGGGUGAGUAACACGUGGGUGACCUGCCCUCCAGCUCUGGGAGUAAGACCGUGGGAAACCGGGUACGUAAUACCGGAUAUGACUCCAUGACGCAUGUUGUGGGGUGGAAAGCCUUGUGCGGCUGAGGAUGGGCCCGCGGCCUAUCAGCUUGUUGGUGGGGUGAUGGCCUACCAAGG